RNAcentral lists this ribosomal RNA (336 nucleotides) under uncultured Xanthobacter sp. RNAcentral describes it as "bacterial SSU rRNA". It matches the Rfam family "Bacterial small subunit ribosomal RNA", at positions 1049 to 1382 of the family's 1533-position model. Lineage: Bacteria; Pseudomonadati; Pseudomonadota; Alphaproteobacteria; Hyphomicrobiales; Xanthobacteraceae. The record is from RNAcentral.
CUGUCGUCAGCUCGUGUCGUGAGAUGUUGGGUUAAGUCCCGGCAACGAGCGCAACCCUUGUCAUUAGUUGCCAUCAUUUAGUUGGGCACUCUAAUGAGACUGCCGGUGACAAACCGGGAGGAAGGUGGGGAUGACGUCAAGUCCUCAUGGCCCUUAUGGGUAGGGCUUCACACGUACUACAAUGGUGGUGACAGUGGGAUGCGAAAGCGCGAGCUGGAGCGAAAUCCCCAAACGCCAUCUCAGUUCGGAUUGCACUCUGCAACUCGAGUGCAUGAAGUUGGAAUCGCUAGUAAUCGUGGAUCAGAAUGCCACGGUGAAUACCGGUUCCCGGGCCUU